Molecule: ribosomal RNA, 2876 nt
Filed under: Parabacteroides distasonis
Lineage: Bacteria; Pseudomonadati; Bacteroidota; Bacteroidia; Bacteroidales; Tannerellaceae
Description: 23S ribosomal RNA
Rfam family: Bacterial large subunit ribosomal RNA
Source: RNAcentral
GAGAAAGUAAGCAAGGGCAGACGGUGGAUGCCUUGGCUCUCGGAGGCGACGAAGGACGUGAUAAGCUGCGAAAAGCCCGGGGGAGGCGCAAAUAGCCCUUGAUCCCGGGAUAUCCGAAUGGGGCAACCCGGCAGGCUGAAGGCCUGCCAUCCCGUAAGGGGAGGCGAACGUGGGGAACUGAAACAUCUAAGUACCCAUAGGAGGAGAAAAUAAACAAUGAUUCCGUAAGUAGUGGCGAGCGAACACGGAAGAGCCCAAACCCAUGUCGUCUAGGCGACACGGGGGUUGUAGGACCACGACGUGGCAAGAGGAUGGCAAGUGGAACGCCUUGGAAAGGGCGACCGUAGAGGGUGAUAGUCCCGUACACGACUGCCUGCCGAAGCCUAGUGGCAUCCUGAGUAGCGCGGGGCACGAGAAAUCUUGCGUGAAACAGCGGGGCCCAUCCCGUAAGGCUAAAUACUCCCGAGAGACCGAUAGCGAACCAGUACCGUGAGGGAAAGGUGAAAAGAACCCCGAGCAGGGGAGUGAAAUAGACCCUGAACCCGUCUGCCUACAAGCGGUCGGAGCAUAGCAAUAUGUGACGGCGUGCCUUUUGCAUAAUGAACCUACGAGUUACCUUCCCCGGCAAGGUUAAGUACCUAAGGUACGGAGCCGAAGCGAAAGCGAGUCUGAAGAGGGCGGCCAGUCGGGGGGGGUAGACGCGAAACCGAGUGAUCUACCCUUGGCCAGGUUGAAGGUUGGGUAACACCAACUGGAGGACCGGAUGGGUAAGCGUUGAAAAGCUUUCCAAUGAGCUGAGGGUAGGGGUGAAAGGCUAAUCAAACUCGGAGAUAGCUCGUACUCCCCGAAAUGCAUUUAGGUGCAGCCUCUUUAUAGUAUAUCGUGAGGUAGAGCGACUGAUUGGAUGCGAGGGCUUCACCGCCUAUCAAGUCCAGAUAAACUCCGAAUGCGCGAUAUAUAUUUACAGGGAGUGAGGGCGCGGGUGCUAAGGUCCGUGUCCGAGAGGAGAAGAAUCCAGACCACCGGCUAAGGCCCCCAAAUGAUCGUUGAGUUGAACUAACGAGGUCGGAUCGCAGAGACAGCUAGGAUGUUGGCUUGGAAGCAGCCAUUCAUUUAAAGAGUGCGUAACAGCUCACUAGUCGAGCGAUCUGGCGUGGAUAAUAAUCGGGCAUAAACGAUCUGCCGAAGCCGUGGAUGUCGUAAGACAUGGUAGGGGAGCAUUCCAUGCGGCGUCGAAGAUGAGGGAUGACCCUUGUUGGAGCGCAUGGAAAAGCAAAUGUAGGUAUGAGUAACGAUAAGGGGGGCGAGAAACCCCCCGCCGAAAGACCAAGGUUUCCUGAUCAACGCUAAUCGGAUCAGGGUGAGUCGGGACCUAAGGCAAAGCCGAACGGCGCCGCCGAUGGAAGAAUGGGUUAAUAUUCCCAUACUGCCUCAUGGAGUGACGUGGAGACGGAGAAGUGACAGUCCUGCCGGCUGACGGAAUAGCCGGUUGAAGGGUGUAGAUAUUGAUUCCCGUAGGCAAAUCCGCGGGGAGAGUCGAACCUGACAGUAUACCGAGUACUUGUACGAGGUAAUAUGGACGUAACCAUGCUCCCAAGAAAAUCCGCUAAACUUAUCCAUGCGGCACCCGUACCGUAAACGGACACACGUGGUCGGGUUGAGAAUACUGAGGCGCUCGAGUGACUCACGGUUAAGGAACUAGGCAAAUUGACCCUGUAACUUCGGGAUAAAGGGUCCUCGUCGUAAGGCGAGGCGCAGAGAAUAGGUCCAGGCAACUGUUUAACAAAAACACAUGGCUAUGCUAAAUGGAAACAUGACGUAUAUAGCCUGACACCUGCCCGGUGCUGGAAGGUUAAGAGGAGAUGUCAUCGCAAGAGAAGCGUUGAAUUGAAGCCCCAGUAAACGGCGGCCGUAACUAUAACGGUCCUAAGGUAGCGAAAUUCCUUGUCGGGUAAGUUCCGACCUGCACGAAUGGUGUAAUGAUCUGGACACUGUCUCAACCGUGAGCUCGGUGAAAUUGUAGUAUCGGUGAAGAUGCCGAUUACCCGCGAUGGGACGAAAAGACCCCGUGAACCUUUACUAUAGCUUUACAUUGAAUUUGGGCAGACGAUGUGUAGGAUAGGCCGGAGGCUUUGAAGGGGGUACGCCAGUAUCCUUGGAGCCGCCGUUGAAAUACGGCCCUUCGGUUGUUUGAGUUCUAACUCCUAGGCAGGAGGACACUGUAUGGUGGGUAGUUUGACUGGGGUGGUCGCCUCCAAAAGCGUAACGGAGGCUUCUAAAGGUGCCCUCAGACCGAUUGGUAACCGGUCGCAGAGUGUAAUGGCAUAAGGGCGCUUGACUGGGAGAGAUACAACUCGAUCAGGUAGGAAACUAGAGCAUAGUGAUCCGGUGGUUCCGCAUGGAAGGGCCAUCGCUCAAAGGAUAAAAGGUACUCCGGGGAUAACAGGCUGAUCAUUCCCAAGAGCUCAUAUCGACGGAAUGGUUUGGCACCUCGAUGUCGGCUCGUCACAUCCUGGGGCUGGAGAAGGUCCCAAGGGUUGGGCUGUUCGCCCAUUAAAGUGGCACGCGAGCUGGGUUCAGAACGUCGUGAGACAGUUCGGUCUCUAUCUAUCGUGGGCGCAGGAGAUUUGAGGGGCUCUGACACUAGUACGAGAGGACCGUGUUGGACGUACCACUGGUUUACCGGUUGUCCCGCCAGGGGCACCGCCGGGUAUCUAAGUACGGAUCGGAUAAGUGCUGAAAGCAUCUAAGUACGAAGCCGGCCUCAAGAUUAGAUCUCCCUGAAGGGUGGUUAUAGACGAUGACCUUGAUAGGCCACAGGUGUAAGGGCGGCGACGUCCGAGCCGAGUGGUACUAAUAGCCCGGGACUUUCCUCA